This 230-nucleotide ribosomal RNA is filed under the name uncultured bacterium. RNAcentral describes it as "partial 16S ribosomal RNA". It matches the Rfam family "Bacterial small subunit ribosomal RNA", at positions 562 to 791 of the family's 1533-position model. The record is from RNAcentral.
AAAGCGUGCGCAGGCGGUUUUGUAAGUCUGUUGUGAAAUCCCCGGGCUCAACCUGGGAAUGGCAAUGGAGACUGCAAGGCUAGAGUUUGGCAGAGGGGGGUAGAAUUCCACGUGUAGCAGUGAAAUGCGUAGAUAUGUGGAGGAACACCGAUGGCGAAGGCAGCCCCCUGGGUCAAAACUGACGCUCAUGCACGAAAGCGUGGGGAGCAAACAGGAUUAGAUACCCCAGU